Non-coding RNA from Paramuricea clavata, 225 nucleotides. NCBI's taxonomy places the organism in Eukaryota, Metazoa, Cnidaria, Anthozoa, Malacalcyonacea, Plexauridae. The record is from the annotation of a GenBank genome assembly.
AACAAACUUAAAAUCUAUUCCAUUUAAGGUGGUCCUAAGUUGAAAACAGUGUACUUGUGACGUAAUUACCGGAAAGGUCUAUUGCGAGAAAGGCGCGAGCUAGAUAAAUCUGCUAGUGUGGCUAAACAUACUUGGACUUAUAACUAUCGUAUAAGAUGGGCCAAAGCAAUCAUUUUGGCAAUUGAUAAUAUUAAUAAUAAGUUCUCUGGCAAAAUGAGGAAGCGA